Antechinus flavipes (yellow-footed antechinus) is the source of this 1708-nucleotide long non-coding RNA. RefSeq lists it as uncharacterized. Lineage: Eukaryota; Metazoa; Chordata; Mammalia; Dasyuromorphia; Dasyuridae. The transcript has 2 exons. The record is from RefSeq and is a predicted model, not a curated record.
CUGGCCUCAGCUCCAAUGACUGCUCCCCCUGAGCAUGCUGUGAAUGUUCUUCCUGGCAAAUGAGAUAAAUUCCUCAUCAAUGGCUUGUCCCUUCAGUUUGAAGACUGAAGAAGAUGGUUACCAAGUAGAAGCUGGUAACUUUGCUUUCUCUUUGUCAUAUGUUAACUUUAAAUAAUCAAUUCAAGCAGUAUAGACUCACUGCUCAUUCUUUUUCUUCUUCCAAAUAAAGCAAAAAUAAUUCUUUUGUCAUUCAUUUAAUAUUUUACAAUCUUCUGUGCAUUUUUGGUUUUAAAUGUCCUGAUACUAUUGUUCAGAUUCAUUUCACUUCUUUAAUCAUUCUUGAUUACAUGUUUUUCUUUCCAUAAUUUGUAUGCAUUCUUUCAAAAUCUGAGAUCUGAGCAUCAAUCACACUAAUAUCUUAGAUACAUCUCCCUUUUCAUCCCUCUCAGGACCGUUUGUCAUUAUGGAACAUGCUGUUUGAAUCCUCCUUAUAGAAGACUUUCCUCACUAGUGAGCUUAACAAUUAUUUAGAAAUUUCUCAUAUUCUUCCCAGAAUCUUUCUGUCUGUUGGAGGGACUUGUCCCUGAAGAUAAUGUGGAAGUGGGAAGACCAAGACCUAUCUUCUUUCAGAUUCUCAUCAACACAAGAAGGAACAUCCAGUACUCAAUUCACCAGCGAGAAAAGUAACACAAAGGGUUUUUGCGUCACAGAUUACAAUUAUAUUAUCAAAUUUUCAUUUUCUAGAAUCUCUUCAUCCUUUUUAACUGCCUUUCUUUUCAGAGACUCUGGUUAGGGAACCAUUUCUAUAGUUUCUCUUACCUUUUUUAUACAUAUUUUCCUAAUGUCUAGAUAUAUAUGUCUGAUUAUAUCCAGCAUUCUUUUAUUUUGCUAUUACAAAACUCUAAGGUAAGAUGGUUUCUUUGUCCUCAAGUACUUGUCACCUUCCACUUCACCAAUCCCCCCUUUUUUUGUUAGAAUUGAGUUCACAGUGGCAAUUUCUCAGUUUCUUUACUCUCUAAGGCAUGAUGUCAUCAGCAAAAUGUCUAAUAUAUUUAUCAGCUUUAUAAAAAUGAGAAUUCCAGUGUAUAAUUGAUUAUCACUUCUAAAAUAAUAGAAUUUUAAAGAUGAGAUAGUCCUUAAGAUAAUUCAGUCCUAUCACUUAUUUCUGGGUCAAUUUUAUAUAUAUACGUAUAUAUGUGUGUGUAUAUAUAUAUUAUCCAGAUUUUGGCAGUCUAUAGAAUGGUUCCAGUUACAUAAUUUUUAUUUCUCUCUCCUUUUUAUUCUCAUCCAAAUGCCAUCUUUAGGUUGAUAAAUUUAAUUAGCUUUUCUUUCUUUUCUUUUUUAGAGAGAAGGGAAUAUCAUUCAGAUUUAGCCUAUUUUGUUUGUAUAGGAAAGGUUAAACCAGUGCUUUAAUGUCCAUAGGAAAAUUUUUAAUUCUAUUUUUUUACUUUAUGAUGUACAUAUAUAUUCAGUACAGAUUUGAGAUAAUAUUUUGGUCUUGCGAUUCUAUAACAUACUUAUCUCUCAUCUAAGUUUACCUAUAUUUUUAAAUUUUUGAAUAUAAAAAGCCUAUCAUUUAUUUCUUUCAAUAACUUUGUUGUUUCUUAGGCAUAGCACUUAAAUGUAAUGUUUUAAUUAUACUCUCAUAUAUUAUUGAAAAUUAUUUAAUUUUUCUGACAACUAAAAUAAAGCAGAUUUUAUAUUCUAA